Taeniopygia guttata (zebra finch) is the source of this 3291-nucleotide long non-coding RNA. The record is from Ensembl. Lineage: Eukaryota; Metazoa; Chordata; Aves; Passeriformes; Estrildidae.
ACCAAACCCCACCCCAGAGUCAAAGCUGAGGAGCACCCAACCCUUCAGCAGCUUUUGGAUCAAGGCUGAGAUGAGCAAAGAGCCCUGAAUGGUUUGGGGUGAUGGGGAUAAACCCCUUUGCAAAGGAGCAGGAGCAGCUGUAGGGCCAGGCAUUCAUUUCCAUCCAGGAAGCAGCAAUGAGUGAAAUGUAUUUCAAAUGUUAAAGGCUUUUCAAAUCUUCACUCCCCGCUGAGCAUCUUGCCAAGUCCUGGCAGCACCUGUAGCCCCCUUGAUAAGGGGCUGGUGUGUUGCAGUCUGGGGCUCAGGAGAAGGUAGAUGUACUGAUGUCUUUUUUCAAAUUGACUUUUGUCCUCUGGGAUUUCCUACCCAGCAGAACUAAUAGUAUUAAGCAGCAGCAAAUGCCCUUGGGAGGAAAUAUUCGCUUCCUGGAGGCGGGUGGGAUUUCUAGGUUGUAGAAUAAGCCCCUUGUGGCACUUGGCAUCUUCUCCGACCCGUGCAAACAUUAACUGCUGUGUGGAUCUGCAGAGCCAGUCCUGCCUGGAGGGCAGGCAGAGUUACUCAGCUUUCCAUAUGGAGAGACACAAAGGGAUGAAGCACUCCCCAGCUCAGGCUCAGCAGAGGCAGUGCAGGGAGCAGGACUGGUGGAAGCACCCCCCCAGUGACCAGGUCGGGCUGAACGGUCCAUCACAGCCUUGCCCAAAUCCGUGCUGCACUUCGGAACACUCUGAGGACUUUCACUUAUUUUUAUUAUUUAUUUUACCUUCAAAUAGGCCGUGUUCUGUUUCCCAGCUGCAGAGGAGCUGCUGACCUCCAGUGACAUUUUCCAGAGGAAGAGUUUAACUUCCACACUGUUACACUGUGGUCAGCUCUUUUUGAGUUAUGCUGGUACUUGCACAAGCGUUGGGAAAAGCAGGGUAGACAAUAUUUGAACUACAGAAACUUGAAUUACUCCAAGUGCAAUUCUUCAGAAGCCGCUGCACAGCUGUGCUUUGCAAGCCACAAGCUCACCCACAUUCUGCUUCAGCCCGAGGGGGAGGGAGACAAAAUGCAAAGGGUAAAGAGUUCAGAUGGGCUCCAAGAGAAACCUCCAGCUCCUGGAUGAGUUAAUUCAGAAAUACCUUGUGCUGCUCUUGUUGGAAGCUAUAUAGAUGUAAAUAUUAUAUAUGCAUACGUGCAUAUAAAAAAAAAUAUAGGUGGCAUCCCUGUCAUUGACCUCUCAGCUUUAUUCUUCCAGCAGGGCAGGUGUGUGCCCUGGACACUGCCACCCCUCACUAAUCCCAGCCUCUGAGAGGACCUGGACAAAGGGAAUGCUACUUUUACACCCUCCUUUAGGUAAAGCCCAUGAGUAGCUUAGCUCACCCCAUCAGGCUCAGCAUGGCCUUGGCCAGGGCUGGGAGGGGAGGUGGCAUCAGGAGCUGUGAGACUCCUGCCCUCCCACCCCUGCUGGCCAAAGCCCUGGUGCUGAUGGAGUUUGGGGCAGGUUUAUUUUCAGGAGCUGGAGCUGAGCAGGUAAAGGCAGCAGGAUAUUUCUUUUUUUUUUCCCUUCAACGGGUCAGAAAUGCAUCUUCAGCUGUGUGUCCAGUUUAGCAUUUCACGAGGUGCGUACAAGCACAGGGGAAUAUGUGGGCAGUGUUGUAAAAACGUGAAGCAGCUGGUUAGUGUGUGCUGUGUAUACCUUUCUGUGUGUGAUUAUAGUGGCGUUUGUGUUGGAAUAGAUGAGGUUUGAACAAAAUAACCCUUCUGUCUACUCCUUUUCAUUUCACUGCUCUGUGCUGUCAGCGUGCAGCCCUGUAGGAGGAAGAGGGGGCUGUGAGCAGGACGUGAACUCGUGCCUUCGCUGCGCGUUGGGACUGCUGGAAGUGGCAGCUUUGUUUCACGAGGUGCACAAUUUCCCCAGCUCGUGCAGGAUCCCCCCUCUGAGACAUGCAGGCCGUGUUUCUAAAUACUUGAAGUACCAUUUGUUGUGCAAUUAUUUGGCUUCACCCUUUUAUGAGCUGAGAGGAGAGAGGGAAGAAGAAUCGCACAUCUGGAUGAGCCAAGCCAACCCCCGCUCGAGCUCCUGCUGUUUCUUUCCUGGAAAGUUUUAGGAUCUGGUUUUGUUCCAGGUAUAUGAUGGACCUUACUAGAGUCACCUUUCUUAAGGUCUUACUUUGGUAUGGGCUUUUAAUUUAGUGCUUUCCUUUGGCUUCCUUAGCCCUCCCCUUAUAUAUCCCUUUUUCAUCAUUCGCUUAUUUAAAAAAAAAACGCAACAGCUUCUUGUAAUUCUGAAUUCCCAGUCUGCCUCCCGGCCAUGGAGUUAAUGAUUCAGCCAGAGGUACCUCAGUCCCAUGCCUGAGAGGUGAGCUGGGUUUCAGAGUUCCCACAUGACACCUACUGAUGGAACUUUUGCAGAGAGCACACCUGGUAUUCGAUGCACAGAUCUUUGCUCAUUUUAAUUGUCAAAAUUAGGAGAACUAGACUGUGAAUCAGAGCCCUACCUGCAAGCACGAGUACACUUUUGGUGUUAGAGUCUGUUUUCAACAAAAGCCUUGAAGUUCCUGCUGAAGCUGCCUUAAUUUAAAAAUCAAAGUUUAUUUGUAAGACUCAUCUCUGAUUAUUAUUUUUUUUUUAAAGUUUGGAAAUAGUUUAUUUAUCCUCAUCUCACGAAGCUGUGAAGUAGAUCCUGUAGCCAUGGUAAUAUUUAUUCUUGUUGCUGAAGGCAUGUUCAUGUGUUCUGUAUCAUGUUAUAUUCACGUGGUUUGUACCUCAAUGCAUUUUUGUUUUUCUUCUUUUAGCGCACAAAGCAAAACUGAAUCCCAGGAUUUCUGUGGUGUCCUUGGCCCAGCAUCUUUGGGCAGACAAACCUCAGCUCUAUGAGAGAGGUAAACUGGACUUGUCCACUGCAAUUCUUAAAUUCAUACUCUAAGGAGUAUUUUAUGAUUUAUAAUAUUAUGUAUUUAUAAUUUUAAGAAAAAGAUACCGAACUUUAAAAAGUUCUGAGUAGAAGCAUCCCUUCAAACAUAUCAUUAACAUGAAGCUCAGAAAAAAAAACCCUGGGCUCUAUAAACACUCCAUUAUUCUUGAUAUUUUCUAUUUUGUCAGCUGAGGGCCUGGAGAGGGUUUUGUUUCCCAGUUCAUGGCUGUAAUACUUUCUGUUAUGGGAGGGCACAGAGCCCUGGUUCAGUUUUGUCCUUUGUGCAUCAGAUAAUCACAACGAAGCCUUUUUCCUUCCAUUUAUGGUGUGGAAAGUGUUUCUUGGUGUACUGCACUGCAUGUGAUAGCUGUCUCCAUGGUUGACAUUUGCACUUUAAU